RNAcentral lists this unclassified non-coding RNA (309 nucleotides) under Hevea brasiliensis (rubber tree). The record is from RNAcentral. Lineage: Eukaryota; Viridiplantae; Streptophyta; Magnoliopsida; Malpighiales; Euphorbiaceae.
CAUAUCUCCAUGCUUCAGAUAUUAUCCACUGUGAUGUGCAAACGAACAACAUUCUUCUAGACAACAAGUUUUGCGUUAAAGUUACAAAUUUUGGAUUGUCUCGUCUCUUUCCAGUUGAUGUGACCCAUGCUUCAACUGCUCCACUAGGAACCCCAGGUUAUGUUGAUCCAGAGUAUCACGAAUGCUAUCAGCUGACAGAUAAGAGUGAUGGGGUGGUCUUGAUUGAGCUUAUAUCAUCAAUGCCUGCUGUUGAUUUCACUAGGCAUCCUCGUGAGAUUAUUUUGUCUAACAUGGCAAUCAAUAAGAUCC